This is a long non-coding RNA of Passer domesticus (house sparrow), 5159 nucleotides long. RefSeq lists it as uncharacterized. The transcript has 4 exons. The record is from RefSeq and is a predicted model, not a curated record. NCBI's taxonomy places the organism in Eukaryota, Metazoa, Chordata, Aves, Passeriformes, Passeridae.
UUUGCUGUUAUACAACAACCCCAGGGCAGCAGCUUAGAUUCAAUUCAACCAUUUGGUUUAAGCCAGCUCCUGAACGGACUAAGCUACUAAAAACAUAAACUCUGAAGAUUGGCAACUGGUAGAAUAAUUUUCCUGCAGAUUGGUCUUUGUAACAAGUGCCAGCCCACAACCAGAGGUAAUAAGGCUGUUUUUCUGGAAUGAAAAUCAAACUGAGUGGAUCCUCCUAUAAAAAUAGGGCACUGUCAUAUACUUGCAGUCUGAACUACACCGACUAAGGACCAGUAUUUUUCAAGAAACAUCUGUGCAGAUUGCUAAUGAAGAUGUUAAAUAGGAGCAAUCCCGAAUCUGCACCCUUCAUUACCCUACUAGAUAUUUUUCCCCUAGUCACUCUCAUAAUCUUUUGUUUAUAGUCUUUCAGCCAGUUUUAACCCACAUGCUCCUAUAAAAUCCAUUGCAAUUCAUUUUCCACUUAUGGCUGCAAAAAAAAAAAACACUGCAGGGAGAAUUUCAAGAACAUAUGGAUACAACCUUGAUCCUCUGAAAGUCAUAAGGAUUGCUGAAAAAAAAAUCCCAUAGGCAACCCAGGAUUUUCUGUAUAUCACUUAUAUGUCAAGGAAGGGAAGAUUUUAAGAAUCAAAAUGAGAGUGGUGUUUGGGACUAUGUGUAUUGAUCCUGCUGUAUUCUUCCUGUAUGCACAGUUAUAUUCAAAGUUAUUAUUGAUAUAUUUUUUGAAUUGUAUGACAAAAACUCCAUCUUCAAUGCAGUAGAUUUCUUACAUAUUCACAUGCAAAGACCUAAAAUAAUAUUCUCUAUUUAAAUUUUAGUCAUUAUCACAUAUGGUAGGUCAAUAGCUAGAUAUCAAUUUGGUAAAAACAGUUUUUAGCUUUAAUAUUUUAUAGAAGCAUAGAAACAUAAUGUAUUAAAAAUUAUCUUGCUUGUUUUUUAGCUAAUACUUUGCCAUUUGGAACCAUGCAAGCUAGGUGAGAGAAACAGAUGUACUGUGGUUUGAAGCUCUGUGAGAAGAUUUUCAUGCAGACUACAGUUCACAUCCCAGACUGAAACAAACUUAAUUGUGCUCACUGGGGCAAAUUGUUCCUUUGUUUACAGUGCAGUGCCCUCAUUGAUUUCAAGCUCAAUAGAACAGCUAUGUUUAGGCUUGUGUACAAUGCUGGGAUAUACGGGAUCUGUUAUGAAAAUAGAGUACUUCAAAUUUAUAAGACUUGAUGUUGGACUUGAAAAGGAAUGGAGUUUAUUUAAUGCAGUCUUUUAGCUUUACAUGAUAGCUUCUAUACAAUUAAGCAGUCUAUAUCGAGUAAAAAAACUCAAAAAAGUGUAGCUUAAAAUAGCUUUUUUUGGCACUUCAAAAGAUCAUAUAUUAAAGAACUAAUUGUUAAGCUUUUAGAUUUUACAAUUGGCUUUUUUCCGAUAUUGAUUUCUUUUUUUCUUCUGAAUACUAGAGAAUAAUUCUUUUCAUUAUGUUAUAGCUUUUUUCUGAUUGCACCAGUUCAGUUGACAUAGACAAUACUUCAUUUAAUCUUAGGUGUGAAGGACUUUCCUCAGGACUUUUACUGGUUUUUCUUCACAGUACCACUUUUCUCUCAGAUUGUCAUUUAGCUCUUAGAGUCUCUCUGCUGAAGUCACUGUGGCAGACAUGUGUCACAUUAGCAGCUCAGAUACACAUCUAGCUUUGAACUGCAGACAAAGUCAGCAAGAAGAGUGAAAUGCUGUCCUUGCUGAUGUCCAUGCUGACAUGGCUAACCAGUCAGGAGUGAGUACUCAACACAGCUAACAUAGAAGCCCUGUAUUUCUGUAAGGCAUUUUUCAGAAUGCACAGUCACAGAGGUGUUAGCUGAACCCCAGAGAGGAAAUCGGGUUUCUGCACUUGUCAGUCUUAUGGCUAAAUCAUCUGAUAGAUCCUAAUUUGAUUUCUAACUUUGCCCUUUGCAUCCUUGAGCAGCUCAGGGAAACAAGGAUAAUAAUUUAUUGUGACGCAGUUCUUAUUGCUUUCAGUGCUAGAGAGCUUCCUGCAUAACUGAACACAUACCUCUGAGUCUUUCCAGGGUGCAAUAUAAACUCCACAGACGCUGGGAAACCCCAGAUUUGUGGCAGAGGCUCUGUUUCACCUGCACAAAAUGAAAGCCUUCUCCAGUCUUGAGUCUUUCACCUGCUCAGACCACAAACUGUUCAGUGCAAGGAUUAUACUCUAUGCUGUGGUGACUGUUCUCUGUUCUCAGAUGUCUUGCCCUUACCAUGAUACAAAUAAAUAAGAGUACCAAGAUACCUUGAUGAUCCUCCUUAUCACAUUUGACACAUUAUCACAUUUAAAUGGUAGAAUCACUGGAACAAUGUUCAAAACAAGAGAUAUGGUCACCCCAGGACAGACCAUAAAUUAAUUGUCUGUAUGAAUUAUCAAAUUUUUUUUGUAUUAUUAUUACUAUUGAGUUUUUUAACAGAGGAGUCUACAGAGGCAGCAUAUUUCUCACAUUUGGUUCCAAAAUAAUUUCAUUUUUGUUCUGAUCAAAUGCACAGACUUCAUUUCACUCCAAAUACUCCAGUUCCCAAGAGUAUGGUGGUUCUCCCUGGAACACAGCAGGAUGUACAGCAGUGUCUCAUCUCUGUUCUUCCUGCCAGUUGACAAUUGCAGUGAAUUCAGAGUUUCUGAAGUUGUCCUCCCAUUGAAGUUCAUGGAGGCACAACAUCCUGCUCCUCACUGCAGGGGUAAGAAGGAAGGCAGCUAGCUGUGUUCCACAGGAGCAGGGAACAGGCUGGCUGUGUUCAUUGCCCAACCUUUUCCCACACCAGCUGUUUCAGGCCUGUGCCAGAGGGAGGACAUGUUGCAGUCUUCCAGCAGGUACUGUCACUGUUGCAUAUGGCCCUUUGGAGGCUAAAUCCCUUUGGGGGGAUUUAAGUCCCUACAGAUGUAAGUCCCUUCUGCACCAUCUCUUUCAAUGUAUUGGUCACACUAAAAAUGUUACAAUCUAGCUCCAAGUGCAGAAGGCCAUGAGGACAUAUAUCUAGAGGAAAUAUAACUCCAAGUUCAUACAAAAUACCUUUGCAAAGGAAAGUAUUUAAAUAAUAUGGUAAAUAGAUUUUUUUUUCAAACACAGAGAUUUUUAAGUCUCAAGAGGAGAACACUGGACUAACCUGGCAAUUCCUUAUCGUAGUGAAAUGGCAUAAGACUCAAUUCUAUACUAUUAUGUAUAGGUGCACAUGUAGAGACAUAUUGUGUAUCUAUCCACACACCUGCAUAUAAUCAUGUGUGCACAUGUGUACUUGAGGUCUCCUCUAGCCUGGGAAUCUCCCUAAUACAUUCUAUCUCACAAUGCACCCAUGAACUAUAGAGUCAUUCUCUGAAAUAAUAUGCCUUGGAUGCAUUACUUCCAGCAAUAAUUGCCAUCCAGAUGGUGGUGGUAAAUUAGGCAAUAUUAUUGGUAAUAAAAGUUAGAAACUUCAGAUUUUCUGAAUGGCGUAUUCAUAUAAAGACUUUCCGAAACAACAUCUUUAAUCACAAGACCAUCAAAUCAUCCAAUUUCAUCUUUCCUCCAUUUUUUGGAACAUUUCACUAGUAUUUGUUCUAUCUUGUUCUGUCUUUUUCUAGUGAUUGCUGUGGUUGUGGUUUUUUAAAUACCACCUACUUCCCAAUAACUACUCUGUUUACUUAUAACCACCAGCUAUCUCAUCAAUUGCUAUCAAUACCUAUGCUUUAGAAAGGGAAAGCACAUAAAGUUCCAGACUUUAACACAGCAUAAUAUAAAAACAUUUGCAAAAUAAUGUAGGCAGAAAUGCUUCUGGUUGCUAUUACUUCCACUGCAAAUAAUGCCAUCUGCUUAUCAUUAUGCCCCAGUGCAUGCUAUCUUACAUGUGGACAGAACUUGUAAUGUGUUUCUGUCUCUGUAGGAAACAGCUUGAAAACUACGCCCUGGAAUAAUGUCAUGAAGAAUACCCUCUUGGCUCUUUCCAAUUAAUUUCUCAGCAACAAUUUACAAUAGAAAGCUGUAGUUAAAAAGCAACAAAUACUGACUUGACCUUUUAAAUUGAAAUUCCCAUGUUUUAGUUUUUCUGUGAGGAAGAAAGAGAGUUUUCACACAAAUUAAGCAUGAGCAGUAGCCAGCAAUAAACCCAGAAGAUUCUGAAAAGAACAGGAAAUGUAUGAGAAAAUGCUAACAAAUUUGCACAUUUAAUAUUAGUAUGAGUGGCAGGUCACAAAUCUGCAAAAGUGUCACACAUUUAGAUGUUGCUUUGUCUGUUAUUGUUCUUUAACUUUCAUGCAGACUGUGAAUUAAAUCUCACAGGAUUUUAUGUUUCCAUGCUUAGGAAUGUUUCAUUCAAUUUGUUAUUCCAGUUCAAUUAUCUUUCUAUAAUGUAGUAUUCAAAAUACCUUAAGACAGUGUGUGUGUGUUUUACAGCUAAACAGUCUAUAAAUUUGGGAUGUUUAUGGACUCUUGUAUCUAUCUGUCCUUUCCAUGCCAGUGUUGUGUUCUGGAAUUUUAACAGCAGAGCUUGAACUUCUAUAUGAAAUUCCUAUUGCAAAAGACUCAGGAAAAGAGGUCUCAAUAAAACAUUUUCAGGAGACAGAAUGCCUUUAAAAUAAAGAGUUGGGGUGUUUUUUUCACAGUUUUUGCAUGGAACAAAAAAAGGGUGGAAUGAAAAUGAGGGAAUGGAAAAAAAUAAGGGUGGACAACUUUCCUAACAGUCCACUGUCCUUGUUUCCCAACAAUUAUAUUUCCACAUUUACAGACUCACUGUACAGCUGACAGUGGUCAUUUUUCACCAAACUGUGAAAAAAAAAUUGCUUUAUCUGCUCAGGCAAGAUGAAAGGUGUACAAGGAACUUAGAUUAAAUACUGAACUCCAGAGGUCUGUCUUUGCUUUCUCUGUGAAACUUCCAAUUUGAUUCCACUUGAGAUGAGGCAAUGGUCAAUGGUUCCUGGCGAACAUUCAUCACAGGCUUCAGAAUGAAACAGACAUUUCUCAUAUGGCAUAUUUUAUAUUUAGAAUGUCAGAAAACAGUCUGGAAGAUUUCCUGCAGGCAACAAUCAGCCUGUUCUGUACCUCUUUCUAAUUUAGAAUUUAAAACAUUUGAUUUUUAUAAGCUCAGUAGUUUCAAUGUGAUGAAAAUAUAUAAAUUGUUUUGUCUUCAAUAAAAGAAGUUUCUCCAGU